CUUGACCGUGCCGAGCCACAGCGGGUGCUCGGGCUCGCGGUCCUGGCCGUACGUGGCGAGUAGGGCGCCCGCCUC
RNAcentral lists this antisense RNA (75 nucleotides) under Streptomyces scopuliridis RB72. RNAcentral describes it as "ASpks TB sRNA". It matches the Rfam family "ASpks TB sRNA". The record is from Rfam by way of RNAcentral. Lineage: Bacteria; Bacillati; Actinomycetota; Actinomycetes; Kitasatosporales; Streptomycetaceae.